GGUUCUGUGGUCUAGUGGUAUGAUACCUGCUUCACACGCAGGGGGUCUCCAGUUCGAACCUGGGCAGAAUCA
Molecule: transfer RNA, 72 nt
Rfam family: tRNA
About the family: Transfer RNA (tRNA) molecules are approximately 80 nucleotides in length.
Source: Rfam